RNAcentral lists this ribosomal RNA (1750 nucleotides) under Labidostommatidae gen. sp. AD1887. RNAcentral describes it as "SSU rRNA". It matches the Rfam family "Eukaryotic small subunit ribosomal RNA". The record is from RNAcentral. Lineage: Eukaryota; Metazoa; Arthropoda; Arachnida; Trombidiformes; Labidostommatidae.
UCUUAAAGAUUAAGCCAUGCAUGUCUAAGUACAUACCGUUUUAAGGUGAAMCYGCGRAWGGMUCAUUAAAUCAGUUACGGUUUUAUAGAUAUUUAACGUCUACAUGGAUAACUGUGGUAAUUCUAGAGCUAAUACAUGCAAAAAAGCCUCGACCUUAACGGAAAAGGCGCACUUAUUAGACCAAGACCAACGGGGCUUCGGCUCCUUGAGAUGGUGACUCUGGAUAAUUAUGCUGAUCGCAUGGCCUACGAGCCGGCGAUAAAUCUUUCAAGUGUCUGCCUUAUCAACUGUCGAUGGUAGGUUAUGCGCCUACCAUGGUUGUAACGGGUAACGGGGAAUCAGGGUUCGAUUCCGGAGAGGGAGCCUGAGAAACGGCUACCACAUCCAAGGAAGGCAGCAGGCGCGCAAAUUACCCACUCCCGGCACGGGGAGGUAGUGACGAAAAAUAACAAUACAGGACUCUUUUGAGGCCCUGUAAUUGGAAUGAGAACAAUCUAAAUCCUUUAACGAGGAUCAAUUGGAGGGCAAGUCUGGUGCCAGCAGCCGCGGUAAUUCCAGCUCCAAUAGCGUAUAUUAAAGUUGUUGCGGUUAAAAAGCUCGUAGUUGGAUCUCAGUUCACGCUCAGGGGUCCACUUCGACGUGGCCACCUCUUAGCUGAACAUUUUACCGUUGUUUUCUCUUGGUUCCCUUAACCGGGCGCCAUGAGUGACCGGUACGUUUACUUUGAAAAAAUUAGAGUGCUUAAAGCAGUCGCUAUUGACCGAAUAAUCUUGCAUGGAAUAAUGGAAUAGGACUUCGAUUCUAUUUUGUUGGUCUUCGGAAUCCGAAGUAAUGAUUAAGAGGGACAGACGGGGGCAUUCGUAUUGCGGCGCUAGAGGUGAAAUUCUUGGACCGUCGCAAGACGAACUACAGCGAAAGCAUUUGCCAAGAAUGUUUUCAUUGAUCAAGAACGAAAGUCAAAGGUUCGAAGGCGAUCAGAUACCGCCCUAGUUUUGACUGUAAACGAUGCCAACUAGCGAUCAGCCUGAGUUCCAUCAAUGACUCGGCUGGCAGCUUCCGGGAAACCAAAGUUUUUCGGUUCCGGGGGAAGUAUGGUUGCAAAGCUGAAACUUAAAGGAAUUGACGGAAGGGCACCACCAGGAGUGGAGCCUGCGGCUUAAUUUGACUCAACACGGGAAAACUUACCCGGCCCGGACACUGGAAGGAUUGACAGAUUGAGAGCUCUUUCUUGAUUCAGUGGGUGGUGGUGCAUGGCCGUUCUUAGUUGGUGGAGCGAUUUGUCUGGUUAAUUCCGAUAACGAACGAGACUCUAGCCUAUUAAAUAGACUGUCGGUCAACAUAUUACCGACAGGAGCUUCUUAGAGGGACAGGCGGCGGUUCAGCCGCACGAAACAGAGCAAUAACAGGUCUGUGAUGCCCUUAGAUGUCCGGGGCCGCACGCGCGCUACWCUGAAGUGAUCAGCGUGCAUGAUUCACCCUGUCUGUCAAGACUGGGCAACCCAUUGAACCUACUUCGUGAUUGGGAUUGGGCAUUGUAAUUAUUGCCCAUGAACGAGGAAUUCCCAGUAAAUGCGAGUCAUUAGCUCGCGUUGAUUACGUCCCUGCCCUUUGUACACACCGCCCGUCGCUACUACCGAUUGAAUGAUUUAGUGAGGUCUUCGGACUGGCCGACGUGGCUGCUCUCACGGGCAGCAGCGUUGCGUUGGAAAGAUGCCCAAACUUGAUCAUUUAGAGGAAGUAAAAGUCGUAA